This 491-nucleotide ribosomal RNA is filed under the name uncultured bacterium. RNAcentral's name for it is "partial 16S ribosomal RNA". It matches the Rfam family "Bacterial small subunit ribosomal RNA", at positions 29 to 506 of the family's 1533-position model. The record is from RNAcentral.
AGUGAACGCUGGCGGUAGGCCUAACACAUGCAAGUCGAACGGCAGCACAGUAAGAGCUUGCUCUUACGGGUGGCGAGUGGCGGACGGGUGGGGAAUACAUCGGAAUCUACUUUUUCGUGGGGGAUAACGUAGGGAAACUUACGCUAAUACCGCAUACGACCUACGGGUGAAAGCAGGGGAUCUUCGGACCUUGCGCGAUUGAAUGAGCCGAUGUCGGAUUAGCUAGUUGGCGGGGUAAAGGCCCACCAAGGCGACGAUCCGUAGCUGGUCUGAGAGGAUGAUCAGCCACACUGGAACUGAGACACGGUCCAGACUCCUACGGGAGGCAGCAGUGGGGAAUAUUGGACAAGGGGCGCAAGCCUGAUCCAGCCAUACCGCGUGGGUGAAGAAGGCCUUCGGGUUGUAAAGCCCUUUUGUUGGGAAAGAAAAGCAGCAGGUUAAUACCCCGCUGUUCUGACGGUACCCAAAGAAUAAGCACCGGCUAACUUCGU